RNAcentral lists this ribosomal RNA (293 nucleotides) under uncultured bacterium. RNAcentral's name for it is "partial 16S ribosomal RNA". It matches the Rfam family "Archaeal small subunit ribosomal RNA", at positions 455 to 747 of the family's 1478-position model. The record is from RNAcentral.
GUGUCAGCCGCCGCGGUAACACCGGCGCCCCGAGUGGCAAUCGCGAUUAUUGGGCCUAAAGCGUCCGUAGCCGGACAGGUAAAUCCUCUGUGAAAUCGUUGCGCUUAACGUAACGGCGCGCAGGGGACACUGCUUGUCUCGAGACCGGGAGGAGUCAGAGGUAUGCCGUGGGGACUGGUAAAAUGGUAUAAUCCACGGUAGACCACCAAUGGCGAAGGCAUCUGACCAGAACGGAUCUGACGGUGAGGGACGAAAGCUAGGGGAGCGAACCGGAUUAGAAACCCCUGUAGUCC